UCCUUAGCAGUCCAGAUGGUAGAAUACAGGGAUGAAAUUAACCCAGUUCUUGGCACAGGACCAUUGAUGCAUAAUUUCAAUGUUAUAGAAGGAAAUCAGGAAUUACUGGUGUUUGUGCAGCCACAUUUAAGGGCCCUUCAGCUCUUUGUUUUGUUUUAUGCCUACUAUGGCGAUGUCUACUCUUCUGCUUUUCUUUUUCCCCAUCUCCAAUUUCAUCAGAAUUCUUUUUCUCUGGACUUUUCCUGCUUUUCUCUUUGCCAUGGCUCCGGUGUUUGCUUCUUCGUGAACUUGGAUUUCCAAGAUCAGGCUUUUCUACACCUAAAAUUUCUCUCGAUUCAGGAAGAUCAACAUUCAGUUUCUCCUUCCCUUUUCUUAUACUAGAUGAUUUAUCAGAUAUAAUGCUUUGUGACGAAGCAGUUUUGGCUACAUUACCUAAAAGAAUAUCUCGAACAGCA
Molecule: unclassified non-coding RNA, 455 nt
Filed under: Hevea brasiliensis (rubber tree)
Lineage: Eukaryota; Viridiplantae; Streptophyta; Magnoliopsida; Malpighiales; Euphorbiaceae
Source: RNAcentral